AAAGAGUGUUUUUCGAUUGAAGUGCACACGUGGGAGUAGAAAGAAAAAAGAAAGUCAACCAUACAAUAAUUGUAUGAGGAUUACUGAAAUUUUUAAAGAUGCACGCUGUGGAUCAGAUUUCUGUUGGGUCAUUUCUCCAUUCGUCGGGAGGUGGUUUUGACUAUUUUCAUUCUGAGCUAGGAAUUUCAAACCAGUUGCUGGGAUGAAAGGGAUAAAUUUAGGAUUUCAGCCAAGUUUCAGAGGAAAAGGGCUCAUAGUUUGCUAUCCUUAUUUUUUAUUCAACCUUUACUGUUAUUUCAGAAUAUCUUGAAUUCUGUCUCAGGCUUUACACAUGCUAAUGAGGCAUGAUCUGCAUAGAGUGGUAGCAUUUUUAAUUGGUUUCCAUGCUACAGGUAGGAUACAUACAGAACUCUGCAGUAUGGGCUCCAACAUAUGUUGUUUCCUUAUUCCUUUAGACUAGCACAGAUUUUGAGAAGCUUAUCAGUGGCAAAGUGUGGGGUUAGUUCAGGUACCUCUUUUAGCACCCCACCAUGUGGGAAGGCUCCUAACAAGAGGCACUUUAAAAGGUUGUAGUUUGACUCUCACAGCAAUGAAUACGAAUUUCUCCAUUUCUCUCUUCUGGGUACAAUGCAGGUCUCCACUGAGUGAUAAUGGUGAUACCAUUGACACUGCACCACAGCAUCUUCCACUGACACUGAAAUAUUGAAUGACUAUUGCAGAGAGACAAUGGGAAGAAAUUGUAUGGGCUAUGGAGAAGGAAGAAGCUCAGAACAUUAAACAGUUUACAAAAAGGUGCACCUUUCAUUGGCCUCAGGCAGCUACACGACUACAUCCAAGAUUAAAAUACAGUAGCUGCAGUUACCUGCCUUGCCCUGAGGAGCGAGAACAUCCUGUGGGUGCAGUGGUCCGAGGCCUGGCUGCUGGGUGUGCUUCCUUUUGAUGGGCUCUGGAUAGAAAGUCGAUUGCUUUUUAAGGUCAUUUAUGCUUCUGAAGUAGGAAGGUCCUCAGUGGUAACAGCAGUCAACAGGCACAAGCUGCCCCUGUCUGAGGCUCCUUUUGGAGCCCUUGCCUGUCCUUCCUUCAGCUUGCACAUCUGGUGAAGAAAAUUAUUUAAAUGCCAACCAGAGAGCGGUUCUGUGCUAGGCUAAGGUCAUUCAUAAAUAUUCAUUUAUCCUCUUGAUGUGCCAUUUAUGUAUGUAUCCCUAUGAAUAUAUAUUCAUAUAUUUGGGUCUAGAAAGCGGAGGUGAGUAUAUCAGUGCACGUAUACAAACACAGGCGUAUACACUCUAGGCAGAUAUACACACAGAAAUGCAUACAGACAGUCAUGAAUACAAGAUUAAAUUGUACUCUGCUGUCAAUAUUUAUAUCAGCUUCCAGGCCUUUCCUGAAUCCUGUUAAUUUUUCUAGUUUCUAUAACAUUCAUUGGCCAUUAAUUAGACAGAAUUAUGUGUUAAUUAAUUAGAAUUACGUGCUAACUUCUUGUAUUUACAUAGACUUUCCUACCUGCUCAUUCCUCAUCCUGCAGCCAAGGCAAGGAGAGGAGGGCUCCCACUGCCGCCUUCUGCAGCCUGCUCAUUAGUUUGCAUAGGCUUAUUAUGCUCCUUGCUGUUGGUCUCCAGUGUAAGGGAAAUGAACCUAAUUGUGAAGAGGGGAGGUUUACAAAGUCUUCAUUCUUCCUUCGUAACUCUUGCUGCACUCUCUGAUUCCUCCUUUC
This 1714-nucleotide long non-coding RNA is filed under the name Anas platyrhynchos platyrhynchos (common mallard). Its description in RNAcentral is "lncRNA (ENSAPLG00000028010.1)". Lineage: Eukaryota; Metazoa; Chordata; Aves; Anseriformes; Anatidae. The record is from RNAcentral.